Molecule: ribosomal RNA, 428 nt
Filed under: uncultured archaeon
Lineage: Archaea
Description: bacterial SSU rRNA
Rfam family: Archaeal small subunit ribosomal RNA
Source: RNAcentral
AACCUGCAGCUCGAGUGGUGAUCGUUAUUAUUGGGCCUAAAACGUCCGUAGCCGGUCUUGUAAAUGCCUGGGUAAAUCGUAUGGCUUAACCAUACGAAUUCCGGGUAGACUGUUAGACUUGAGACCGGGAGAAGCUAGAGGUACUCCUGGGGUAGAGGUGAAAUUCUGUAAUCCUAGGGGGACCACCAGUGGCGAAGGCGUCUAGCUAGAACGGGUCUGACGGUGAGGGACGAAGCCCUGGGGCGCAAACGGGAUUAGAUACCCCGGUAGUCCAGGGUGUAAACGCUGCUUGCUUGAUGUUAGUCUGGCUCCGAGCCAGAUUAGUGUCGGAGAGAAGUUGUUAAGCAAGCUGCCUGGGAAGUACGGCCGCAAGACUGAAACUUAAAGGAAUUGGCGGGGAGCACCACAAGGGGUGAAGGCUGCGGUUU